Cynocephalus volans (Philippine flying lemur) is the source of this 1851-nucleotide long non-coding RNA. RefSeq lists it as uncharacterized. The transcript is spliced from 3 exons. NCBI's taxonomy places the organism in Eukaryota, Metazoa, Chordata, Mammalia, Dermoptera, Cynocephalidae. The record is from RefSeq and is a predicted model, not a curated record.
UGUAGUGUGUGUUCUUGUCAGUUCAAUGUUCGACGUGUUCCCUAUCCCGGGAUAAUACAUUAAGUGGAGUUUUGGAGCAGGGAGGUGGGGUAGGAGCGUGCUUAUUGCAGUGUGUCUGGGAACUGCACCCCCUCUGGGGAUGUAAGGCUCAGCCGAGCGGUUGAAAGAAAAAUUUCCAGUGGUUGUUUUCAACGUUUCCUUGGAAAAUAUGAUCCUACCAGGCAGCUCAUGCUGGAAGCCAGGAAGAUCUGCCUGGAUAUUAUCCACAGACUUGGAAUUGUGCACAACACAGUAUGCGGUCCACUGGUCAUACGAAAAUCCACGUCUUCCAGAAGUUGCUACCCAACAGAGCAUUUCAACCUGCUGAAGGCACAGUUGAAGUGCCAGCUUUGAAGGCUAUAUACUCUGCAAAGACAAGACCCUGUCUUCCAGGAUGCAUGGCACAUACAGAAUCACAGUCUUCUAGCAGUGCUGUGUCCUCAACUGGAGGAAUACAUGGGUUAAGGAACCACGGAGUGGAAGCAGGAGUGUGUGCCAUUGAACUCCACGCUACAGCUGUGGCUGGACACAUUGGACUUGCAUCCAGGGACCAGCAGGCAAGAAGAGCAGUUGCUGUCUUGGCAGGGAUAAUUGGCCCUCAUCAUCACGGGGAGGAAGUGCUGUUGUUAUAUAAUGAGGGCAGGUAGAAUAUAUGUGGACUUGGAUGAUAUGUUUGAGAGCAACAUGUUACUCCAAGGCCCACUUGUGACUGAAUGGACAAGCACAGCAACUUCAACUUGAGAAAGGUGUGACUUCUAGGGGUGUAGGCCCCAAAGGAAUGAGAGUUUGGGUCAUAGCACCAGGGAAACCACCAGAAUCAGCAGAGGUGAUGGCUGAGGAUGAGGGGAAUUUAGAAUGGAGAGUACAGGAGGCACAGGAUGAGUACCACCUGCAGCUCUACGACCAAGUGCAGCAAUGGGGGCUGUAGUUUGACUCACUAACCUUAUUGCAAGUUUUUGCAGUAUAUAAGGGUCAGCAUCUCAGGGACAAAGAGCAGGAGAGAGGAAUGGCAAAUGGAUGCAGGCAGAGAAGAAAAGGCACAAACCCACAUAUUCCUGAUUGACAUUGCAGUAAUAUACACAGACAGAGAAGUCUUCUCUUAAGCUGGUUUUAAAAUCAACAUCUCUGUUAGAGUAAAAGUGACCACCAACACUUUGGGCAAAUGUUAAGUGUAAUUAUUGUUGGUUUAGUUUAAUAUCAUUCUUUAUUAAAUAACAAUGUGCACAACAAAGUUAAGGAUUCUUUUGAAAAGGCAUCUCUGUGCUUCGUGCAAAUAUAUCAUCUAAGAAAUUCUCACUCCUGAGUUGUUAAAGUAUAAAAAGGUUUAUGUGUGUCAGAAUGUUAGAAUGUCAAUUCACACUCCUAGAAAAAUAUCAAGGACCUCACCACAGCCACUCCCUGAUUUCACAAACUUGGUAAACAGUCUCAGUUGUUUAGUACCGUUAGAUAAGACCACUGCCUUGGGCUAAAUGUCCCCCCAAAACUUAGUCUCCAUUGUAACUGUUGAGGGUGGGAAGUCCUAUUUGAUUGUUGAGUGGGAAAUCCUAAUUGAAAGGUGGGGCCUUGAAGAGGUGAUUGGAUUGUAGGACCAUGCCAUAGUAGUGGAUUAAGAAUGGUGGUCAGGGGCAUGGUUCUGUGGGCUUUAAAAGGAGAGUGCAGGAGGAGCUAUGGUUCUCUCUGGUCCACCAUUUUCACAAUGUGAUACACUGACAUCACUGUCGCCACCAAGGCUCUCAUCAGAUGUGUUCCCUGGACUUUGGACUUCCCAGCCUCAGAAGCUGUAAGCAAUAAACUUCAUUUUCUUACAAAUUA